CUCAAGGCUGCACAUUUGCCUGGGGUACGGACCUUUCACAGCGGCUUUGAAUCAUGGGCGGUUGUCGUGACAACAAACUAUCACAAACAGAAAACUGCCUAAUGCCGUGGAUUUCAUUUUGGUUCAAACACUCCCUUACCUCACAUCAAGGCUAUGAAAAAAAACGAAGAAAAAAAGAAUCAGGGACAAUGCCCCAGUGUGCUGCCCCUUGUGACCGUGGCUCCUUGGCGAUCUGAGCAGUAUCAGAAGGCAAGAGGUUUUCUGAAAUUGGAAUGUCAAUCAGAACGGGCUUCAGCCAAAGUGUAUUGUAUCAGUAUCAUGGAGAAGACCUCUCUGACAUCUGGAGUCAGCUGGAUCGUCCCACAUCCAAGAUCUAUGACUAAUAAUGAAACACAGUACAGAUGCUAAUUAUUCAGCGUGCAGUAAGCCUUUUGGCCCCUGACCCAACUCUGGCUUAAAUUCACAUUAUCCGGACCUUAUUCUAUUUAAUACCUGCCAGCUCCUGCCUGGGAGUGUCCAGUUAUUUCACUUACAGUUAUUCAGAGAAAAUAUCCUGUUUUUCUCGUUCUAACAAAAUGAGUAAGAUAUCUCUUCCUGUGAUGUAAUGCCACUGACACUUCAUUAAAAAUAAAAUCAAGUCUUAGUUUUCCCUAUUAAA
Long non-coding RNA from Xenopus tropicalis (tropical clawed frog), 658 nucleotides. RefSeq lists it as uncharacterized. The transcript is spliced from 3 exons. The record is from RefSeq and is a predicted model, not a curated record. NCBI's taxonomy places the organism in Eukaryota, Metazoa, Chordata, Amphibia, Anura, Pipidae.